GACGAACGCUGGCGGCGUGCUUAACACAUGCAAGUCGAACGGUGAAGCUCCAGCUUGCUGGAGUGGAUCAGUGGCGAACGGGUGAGUAACACGUGAGCAACCUGCCCCUGACUCUGGAAUAAGCGCUGGAAACGGCGUCUAAUACUGGAUACGAGAAGGGUCCGCAUGGGCACUUUCUGGAAAGUUUUUCGGUUGGGGAUGGGCUCGCGGCCUAUCAGCUUGUUGGUGAGGUAAUGGCUCACCAAGGCGACGACGGGUAGCCGGCCUGAGAGGGCGACCGGCCAAACUGGGACUGAGACACGGCCCAGACUCCUACGGGAGGCAGCAGUGGGGAAUAUUGCACAAUGGGCGAAAGCCUGAUGAAGCGACGCCGCGUGAGGGAUGACGGCCUUCGGGUUGUAAACCGCUUUCAGCAGGGAAGAAGCGAAAGUGACGGUACCUGCAGAAGAAGCACCGGCUAACUACGUG
RNAcentral lists this ribosomal RNA (468 nucleotides) under uncultured bacterium. RNAcentral describes it as "partial 16S ribosomal RNA". It matches the Rfam family "Bacterial small subunit ribosomal RNA", at positions 28 to 507 of the family's 1533-position model. The record is from RNAcentral.